UUGACCUCAAAUCAGGUAGGACUACCCGCUGAACUUAAGCAUAUCAAUAAGCGGAGGAAAAGAAACUAACAAGGAUUCCCCUAGUAACUGCGAGUGAAGCGGGAAAAGCUCAAAUUUGAAAUCUGGCAGUUUUUGACUGUCCGAGUUGUAAUCUAGAGAAGUGUUACCUGUGCUGGACCGUGUGCAAGUCUCCUGGAAUGGAGCGUCAUAGAGGGUGAGAAUCCCGUCUUUAACACGGACUACCAUGUACAUUAUGGUGCGCUCUCAAAGAGUCGAGUUGUUUGGGAAUGCAGCUCAAAAUGGGUGGUAAAUGCCAUCUAAAGCUAAAUAUUGGCGAGAGACCGAUAGCGAACAAGUACCGUGAGGGAAAGAUGAAAAGAACUUUGGAAAGAGAGUUAAACAGUACGUGAAAUUGCUGAAAGGGAAACGCUUGAAGUCAGUCGCGUUGGCUAGAAAUCAGCCUUGCUUUUGCUUGGUGUACUUUCUGGUUGAUGGGUCAGCAUCAAUUUUGAUCACUGGAUAAAGUCUUUGGGAAUGUGGCAUCUUUGGAUGUGUUAUAGCCCAUUGUCGCAUACAGUGGUUGGGAUUGAGGAACUCAGCACGCCGUAAGGCCAGGUUUCGACCAUGUUCGUGCUUAGGAUGCUGGCAUAAUGGCUUUAAUCGACCCGUC
RNAcentral lists this ribosomal RNA (670 nucleotides) under Inocybe petiginosa. Its description in RNAcentral is "eukaryotic LSU rRNA". It matches the Rfam family "Eukaryotic large subunit ribosomal RNA", at positions 1 to 653 of the family's 3401-position model. The record is from RNAcentral. RNAcentral also lists the same sequence under 1 other name. Lineage: Eukaryota; Fungi; Basidiomycota; Agaricomycetes; Agaricales; Inocybaceae.